AUGUCGGGGGAUCACAGAGAAGUCAGACUACGAAGAGAUCAUGUACAAAACCAAUUGAAAGUGAAUUGUGUAGCUAGUAUUCAAAACAUCUUUACUUGUUUGAGUUUCAUGUUUUCUUACAUAAGUACAUUGAUGACAUUGUUGAUGUGGGUAAAGAUGAAAUUUGUAAUUUCCAUGCUAUUGCAACUUUACUUGGAUGAGGCAAAGAGUCUUGGCCUUUGGUUCAAACGUAGUUAG
Molecule: non-coding RNA, 237 nt
Organism: Vicia faba (fava bean)
Lineage: Eukaryota; Viridiplantae; Streptophyta; Magnoliopsida; Fabales; Fabaceae
Source: the annotation of a GenBank genome assembly